This 484-nucleotide ribosomal RNA is filed under the name uncultured bacterium. RNAcentral describes it as "partial 16S ribosomal RNA". It matches the Rfam family "Bacterial small subunit ribosomal RNA", at positions 28 to 523 of the family's 1533-position model. The record is from RNAcentral.
GACGAACGCUGGCGGCGUGCUUAACACAUGCAAGUCGAACGGAAAGGCCCUGCUUUUGUGGGGUGCUCGAGUGGCGAACGGGUGAGUAACACGUGAGUAACCUGCCCUUGACUUUGGGAUAACUUCAGGAAACUGGGGCUAAUACCGGAUAGGAGCUCCUGCUGCAUGGUGGGGGUUGGAAAGUUUCGGCGGUUGGGGAUGGACUCGCGGCUUAUCAGCUUGUUGGUGGGGUAGUGGCUUACCAAGGCUUUGACGGGUAGCCGGCCUGAGAGGGUAACCGGCCACAUUGGGACUGAGAUACGGCCCAGACUCCUACGGGAGGCAGCAGUGGGGAAUAUUGCACAAUGGGCGGAAGCCUGAUGCAGCAACGCCGCGUGCGGGAUGACGGCCUUCGGGUUGUAAACCGCUUUCGCAUGUGACGAAGCGUGAGUGACGGUAAUGGGUAAAGAAGCACCGGCUAACUACGUGCCAGCAGCCGCAGUAA